Molecule: ribosomal RNA, 1295 nt
Filed under: Zicrona caerulea
Lineage: Eukaryota; Metazoa; Arthropoda; Insecta; Hemiptera; Pentatomidae
Description: 16S ribosomal RNA
Rfam family: Archaeal large subunit ribosomal RNA (bases 845-1212)
Source: RNAcentral
UUAUUAUUUUAAAUUUAAUGUUAUAAAUUAUUUAAUUAUUAUUUAUUAGAAAUAACUUAAAUUGAAGUAUUUUUUAAAGAAUUAAUUAGUUUUAUUAUUUAUAGUUUAUUUAACUGUAAAGGUUUAUAAUUUUAUAUAGAUUAGAAGUAAAAUUAAUUAUUUGUACCUUUUGUAUCAGGGUUUAAUCAAUUUAAUACUAAAUAAUAUAGAUUUCCCGAAUUUAGAAGAGAUAUUAAUAAUUGUUAUUUAUUGUGUUAUAAAUAUUAAUUAAUUAUUAAUAGUUGUUAUAUGCUAUUCAUUUUUAAAUAUCUGGUUUCUUGAUAAUUGAAUUUAAUUCAGAACUAAAUUAAGUUUAUUUUAUAAUUAAAUUUUUAUUAAACUAUUUAGUUUAAAAUUAAAAGGGAUAAGCUUUUUAAUUUAUCUAUAAUUUAUUGAGUAUUUAAAAUUUUGUAGGAUUAGAAAUUUCCAUCCUUUAUUUUGUUAUAAUUAAUUUUUAAAUAUUAAUUUAUUUUUUCUAUUAUUUAGAUUUAUAUCAAGAUUUAUUAUUUAAUUAUUUUUUAAUAGUUAUAAUGAUAAAAUUAGUAAAUAAUAAAAUUAAUAUAUAGUAAUUCGGCAAAUUUAUUUUUUACCUGUUUAACAAAAACAUGUCUUAAUGAUUAUUUUUAUUAAGUCUAACCUGCUCAAUGAUUUAAUAAUUAAAUAGCCGCAGUAUUUUGACUGUGCGAAGGUAGCAUAAUCAAUUGUCUCUUAAUUGGAGGCUUGUAUGAAUGGUUGAAUAAAAAAAUAGCUUUCUUUAUAUUAAUAUAUUGAAUUUAAUUUUUAAGUUAAAAGGCUUAAAUUUAUAAGUGGGACGAGAAGACCCUAUAGAAUUUUAUUAUUUAUGUUAUUAUUUUUUUUCUUUUGAUAAUAAUAAUAAUAAUGAAAUAAAUAGUUUUGUUGGGGUGACAAUGAGAUUAUUUAAACUCUCAUAAUAUAAUUAUUUAAUAAUUAUUAUAUUUAAGAUCCUAUUUUAAGGAUUAUUAGAUUAAAUUACCUUAGGGAUAACAGCGUAAUUUUUCUGGAGAGUUCUUAUUAAUAGAAAAGUUUGCGACCUCGAUGUUGGAUUAAAAUUAGAAUUAGGUGUAGAAGCUUAAUUUCUAGGUCUGUUCGACCUUUAAAAUUUUACAUGAUCUGAGUUCAGACCGGCGUGAGCCAGGUCGGUUUCUAUCUUCUUAUGAUAUUUAUAAAUUAGUACGAAAGGACCAUUUAUAUCAAAUAAUUUGUUAUUUAUUAUUGAAUACUUUUAAAUGGUUUAA